This 465-nucleotide ribosomal RNA is filed under the name uncultured bacterium. RNAcentral's name for it is "partial 16S ribosomal RNA". It matches the Rfam family "Bacterial small subunit ribosomal RNA", at positions 28 to 507 of the family's 1533-position model. The record is from RNAcentral.
GAUGAACGCUGGCGGCGUGCUUAACACAUGCAAGUCGAACGGAAAGGCUCCUGCUUGCCGGGGUACUCGAGUGGCGAACGGGUGAGUAACACGUGGGUGAUCUGCCCUGCACUUCGGGAUAAGCCUGGGAAACUGGGUCUAAUACCGGAUAGGACCACAUUUUGGAUGGUGUGGUGGAAAGUUUUUCGGUGUGGGUUGAGCUCGCGGCCUAUCAGCUUGUUGGUGGGGUAAUGGCCUACCAAGGCGCCGACGGGUAGCCGGCCUGAGAGGGUGGACGGCCACAUUGGGACUGAGGUACGGCCCAGACUCCUACGGGAGGCAGCAGUGGGGAGUAUUGCACAAUGGGCGCAAGCCUGAUGCAGCGACGCCGCGUGGGGGAUGACGGCCUUCGGGUUGUAAACUACUUUCGCUAGGGACGAAGCGCAAGUGACGGUACCUGGAGAAGAAGCACCGGCUAACUACGUG